RNAcentral lists this ribosomal RNA (891 nucleotides) under Triticum aestivum (bread wheat). RNAcentral describes it as "partial small subunit ribosomal RNA". The record is from RNAcentral. Lineage: Eukaryota; Viridiplantae; Streptophyta; Magnoliopsida; Poales; Poaceae.
AUGGAGCUGGAGCUGCCCAAUGGCCCGGUGAAGCGAGAAAUGGUUGUGCAUGAAGCAGCCGUCCGAGGAGGAGGAGGAGGAGGACAUGGCGGCGACAUGAGGAUGAGGAUGGAUGUUACCGUGAGGAUCAACGCCGACAUGUUUCACUGCCCCAUCUGCUUCCGCCCCUUCAAGCCUCCCGUCUUCCAGUGCGAAGGCGGGCACUUGGCUUGCGGCAGCUGCGUCGUGGAGCUCCCCUGGCAACAGUGCGGCAAAUGCGAGCACGGCGGCGACUUCCACGCCUGCCCCUUGCUCGACACCUUCGUCUCCUCGGCCAGCGUCCAGUGCGACCACCACGGCUGCGGGCGCUACGUCACCUACCACGAGGCCGGCCAGCACCGGAGCGCGUGCCCGCACGCGCCCUGCUCCUGCGCGCUGCCCGGCUGCGGCUUCCUCGGCCCGCCGCCGGCGCUCCUCCUUCACCUCAACGCGCUGCACUCAGUGCCCGUGCACGACGUCCCGUACAGCAAAGCGCUCCUGCUGCAGGUACAGGCGUCGCCGGAGCCGCGGCACCUUCUUCGCGGGGAGGAGGACGGCCGCGCGUUCCUCCUGGUCACCGGCGCGCACGGUCCGGGAGCCGCGGUCACGGUGUCUGUCGUGUGCAUCAGAGCGGCCGCGUCCCCGUCGCCGCGCUACUCGGUCAAGCUGUGGGCCAACGGGCCACCGCCGCCGGCCAACCGCAAGAUGGACACCAUCUGGGCGGACUUUGAGGCGACGAGCAGCACGUCGCCGGGCACCGUCGCCCUGGAGGAGCUGACGUCUUUCUUGACGGUACCACCGCGGUAUCUACAUGGGGCUGGGGCGUCCAAGGAGUUGCCUCUCCACGUUCGCAUCGACAAGAUCACCUCCUGA